UCACAGCUGCAUUCUGGGUAGCGCGUCCGGCUCGGCAGCGCCUUUCCCGUCAAGCUCGCCAGUUCAUCAGCGACCCGCUGCGGCCUGUUUGCCGGAAACCGGCCCGUAUAAAUGUGCCGUCUUACCGCAGCGGGCCCUCCCAGCAGCCAAUCAGAGCGCGGGGAGGAGGCGGCAUGGGAGCGAAUUAAUCAGGACGACGAACGAACGAGGACGGAUCCCAAAUAAAAAACAAAUCCUUUUUUUCAGGACUUAUUCCCAUUAAAAGCAGCUUCUGUUUGUGAUUGAGCCUCUGCAGCGGGAGUCCAGCUGCUUUAACCGACACAGAAAGACUCUCAUGAUCCUGAUCUGCCGGCGCCUCUAACCUGGAUGUGAACCUCAGUGAAACGCCACCAGCGUCCGAGGCUGAGCAGACGCUCGCUGCGUGCGGCGGCCGGCGCUACAAAUGGGCUCUGCAGGCGCUGCUUCCUUCAGAAAGGCUCGCCGUUACUGGAGCGCGGAGUGACGGGGGGCCUGUUUAUGUAUUCAUUGAAGACUGAAGUGAUUUUCUUUGACAUGACAGCAUGACUCCGCCCACGUCCUCCUGAGGUGGAUCGUAACCAGCCAGCUUCAAAAUGCAAAGGAGACACUGGACCAAAAGAAAUGUCAAUCAGCUGAUCAAAAGCUCAAGAUCACAGCCUUAAAAAGUCAAAAACUCUGUUCAAUAAUCUGACUUUCAUGUCACUUUCUGUCAGGGUUUCACAUGGACUGAAAGGUUUUCUGUGUUUAAACGAGACGGACCUGUAAUCAAAAUGAGCUGAACCGACAGCAGCAGGACUCUCCCAACAAUACAUCAUCUUCUUGGUAUGUUUUACCUUCUUCAAAAGAUCCUGAUCAAAAAGAAAUAAAGUUGUAGACCUGAAAUUGUGUUGUAAAGCAAUCUUCACCUGAUGUCCCUCUGCUCUCCUCACAUCACGGCCAUCCAAGCAAAUGGUCAACAUGAGCGCUCAGGCUGUCCACUACGGAUCACUUUCCAUCAUUUUAGUUCAGUUUUGAAGCUAAUCGUUCCACGCUUUGAAUGAGCCGAUGU
This is a long non-coding RNA of Xiphophorus couchianus (Monterrey platyfish), 1066 nucleotides long. RefSeq lists it as uncharacterized. The transcript has 3 exons. Lineage: Eukaryota; Metazoa; Chordata; Actinopteri; Cyprinodontiformes; Poeciliidae. The record is from RefSeq and is a predicted model, not a curated record.